Molecule: ribosomal RNA, 253 nt
Filed under: uncultured bacterium
Lineage: Bacteria
Description: partial 16S ribosomal RNA
Rfam family: Bacterial small subunit ribosomal RNA
Source: RNAcentral
UACGUAGGUGGCAAGCGUUGUCCGGAAUUAUUGGGCGUAAAGCGCGCGCAGGCGGUCCUUUAAGUCUGAUGUGAAAGCCCACGGCUCAACCGUGGAGGGUCAUUGGAAACUGGGGGACUUGAGUGCAGGAGAGAAGAGUGGAAUUCCACGUGUAGCGGUGAAAUGCGCAGAUAUCGGGAAGAACACCCGUGGCGAAGGCGGUUCUCUGGGACGGUACUGACGCUGAGACGCGAAAGCGUGGGGAGCGAACAGG